GACAGCUUGCUCCUUGAUUCAGCGGCGGACGGGUGAGUAAUGCCUAGGAAUCUGCCUGGUAGUGGGGGACAACGUUUCGAAAGGAACGCUAAUACCGCAUACGUCCUACGGGAGAAAGCAGGGGACCUUCGGGCCUUGCGCUAUCAGAUGAGCCUAGGUCGGAUUAGCUAGUUGGUGGGGUAAUGGCUCACCAAGGCGACGAUCCGUAACUGGUCUGAGAGGAUGAUCAGUCACACUGGAACUGAGACACGGUCCAGACUCCUACGGGAGGCAGCAGUGUGGAAUAUUGGU
This 291-nucleotide ribosomal RNA is filed under the name Pseudomonas fluorescens. Its description in RNAcentral is "partial 16S ribosomal RNA". It matches the Rfam family "Bacterial small subunit ribosomal RNA", at positions 74 to 368 of the family's 1533-position model. Lineage: Bacteria; Pseudomonadati; Pseudomonadota; Gammaproteobacteria; Pseudomonadales; Pseudomonadaceae. The record is from RNAcentral.